GUAAGGAAUAUUGGUCAAUGGACGAAAGUCUGAACCAGCCAUGCCGCGUGGAGGAUGAAGGUCCUCUGGAUUGUAAACUUCUUUUAUAUGGGACGAAAAUGGGGCUUUCUAGCUCAACUGACGGUACCAUAUGAAUAAGCACCGGCUAACUCCGUGCCAGCAGCCGCGGUAAUACGGAGGGUGCAAGCGUUAUCCGGAUUCACUGGGUUUAAAGGGUGCGUAGGUGGGUAUUUAAGUCAGUGGUGAAAUCUCCGAGCUUAACUCGGAAACUGCCAUUGAUACUAUUUACCUUGAAUGCCCUGGAGGUAAGCGGAAUAUGUCAUGUAGCGGUGAAAUGCUUAGAUAUGACAUAGAACACCAAUUGCGAAGGCAGCUUACUACGGGGUGAUUGACACUGAGGCACGAAAGCGUGGGGAGCAAACAGGAUUAGAAACCCUGGUAGUCC
This 445-nucleotide ribosomal RNA is filed under the name uncultured bacterium. Its description in RNAcentral is "partial 16S ribosomal RNA". It matches the Rfam family "Bacterial small subunit ribosomal RNA", at positions 354 to 796 of the family's 1533-position model. The record is from RNAcentral.